AGAAUCAACGCUGGCGGCGUGCCUCAGACAUGCAAGUCGAACGCGAAAGUUCCCUUCGGGGAGCGAGUAGAGUGGCGCACGGGUGAGUAACACGUAGGUAAUCUACCUUUGGGUGGGGAAUAACUCAGGGAAACUUGAGCUAAUACCGCAUAAUGCAGCGGCUCGACAUCGAGACAGUUGUUAAAGCGGGGGAUCGUAAGACCUCGCGCCUAAAGAGGAGCCUGCGGCGGAUUAGCUAGUUGGUGAGGUAAUGGCUCACCAAGGCAUCGAUCCGUA
Molecule: ribosomal RNA, 276 nt
Filed under: uncultured bacterium
Lineage: Bacteria
Description: partial small subunit ribosomal RNA
Rfam family: Bacterial small subunit ribosomal RNA
Source: RNAcentral